Non-coding RNA from Peromyscus maniculatus bairdii (prairie deer mouse), 1602 nucleotides. Lineage: Eukaryota; Metazoa; Chordata; Mammalia; Rodentia; Cricetidae. The record is from RefSeq and is a predicted model, not a curated record.
GGUGGCUCACUUAUGGUUUCAGAGGUUUAGUCCACGAUCAUCAUGGCGGGAGCAUGGCAACAGCCAGCAGAGGGCAGCACGUCCCAGAAGUUGAAGGAGAGGCCCCUUUGGAAGAGAUCUAAUACACACUAACUUGAGCUUGCGUUCCACGGGAUUCUGGGAUGAAGGAGAAGAAAGGCAAGAAGGCACAGUUCUGCCCAACCCCCACUGCCGAGAGCCUGCGAACCAUCGACAGGCAGGGGCAUCGAGAGCCCGGAGGUCAUCGGGCACUCGGGAGCCAUGGAGAUGAAGUCAUCCGCGUGUAUGGAUUCUGAAUGCAACGCCAGGAGAUGAAGACAAGUGAGGGCAGAAGGUUAGGCAUAUCGUCACUGAGAUGUAGGACUGGUGUGGACCGCAUGGCGAUCAUCGCUGCUUGAUAAAGUUCCAGCAUUUCGACGUUCGGGUCACACUUCUCCAGCAGCCUUUUCCUUUUCUUUUUAAUGAUUCCCACUAUGUGUUGUGGGAGUUCCCUUAUGCCUUUUCCUGUGGGAAAUUUUGUGUGGGCUUUGAAGGGUGAAAAUGUAUAAUAUAGCAGCCCCUUUCAGUAAUAUAUAUAAUUCUUGGAGAAAAAACUCCCUGCCACCGUGGAACCAUAUGGUGUGAUGACUUGCACACAGGAAUCCCAUUGUGCCCUCCUGAUUACAUCAAGAACAGGAAUGUUAGAGUUUUACUAGACACACCUGAUCCCAGGGAUGAAACGCCUACAAUCCAGUUCCAGAGCCUGAAGCCAUUAAGGGCAAGAGUUCAGUUAAUAAGCAUAGAGAAAUCAGAAUGGUAUGGUAUAAUGGGAAAAGAAUAAGACAUCAGGACCUUCUGCUUUGGUGGCGUAUGUGGGGAACAGGCCCAUGUACCAAGACUAAGACACAAAGGGAUGCGAUUAUGGAACAGCUCAGUGCUUAUGCUGUAUCUGCCCCCUGAGGAAUGAAAAUGGCUUUAAAUUGUAGUGGUGUGUCUGGUCCCCAGAGGAAGUCCUUUUCCCAAGGUCAGGCACUCAGAUAAGGGUCCCCAUGCCCUCAGGGGCUUGAGGAAAAUUCCUGCUUGCUAAAAGCAGUCAUUUUCCUUAUCUCUGGCAGGAGGAACAUGUGGUCCUUCCAUUGAUGUAAAGAGGGCCUUGGUGGAGCUACUGAAUCUUUGGGAACAAUAGGCAUUUAGAUACUUGCUGAACUUAACUUUCGUCUCAGGAAAAAUGCUGUAAUAAAGUUAAUGGCUGCUUUCAUCCUUGAAUCAUUGAACCCACUUUCAAUCUUGUCUGUGACUAAACUAUUGAGCAUAAAAGGUUUGGCCUUUUUUUCAAUAGAGGGGCAGCCAUCCUGAUUCACCCUCAGAUCAUGUCAGUGUCCUCCUCCUCUUUCCAGACUCCACACCUCUUCUUUGGGGCCUGACCCCCACUGGAGCUGGACUCCAGCAUAGAUUCAAAGAGUAGGAGGCCCGUGAGAGCUAAGAGAAGGUAGAGCUGAGACAAGAGGCUGCCUGUGGGUUGGGAUGCGGCUGAGUUCGCAGAGUACCUCCCUAGCAUGCACGAGACCCCAGGUUCAAGCCUCAGAACGGCCAGUACUGCAAUCU